UACAGAGGGUGCAAGCGUUUAAUCGGAAUUACUGGGCGUAAAGCGUGCGUAGACGGUUACAUAAGUCGGGUGUGAAAGCCCCGGGCUCAACCUGGGAAUUGCAUUCGAGACUGCGUAGCUAGGGUGCGGAAGAGGGAAGCGGAAUUUCCGGUGUAGCGGUGAAAUGCGUAGAUAUCGGAAGGAACACCAGUGGCGAAAGCGGCUUCCUGGUCCAGCACCGACGUCAGGCACGAAAGCGUGGGGAGCAAACAGG
Molecule: ribosomal RNA, 253 nt
Filed under: uncultured bacterium
Lineage: Bacteria
Description: partial 16S ribosomal RNA
Rfam family: Bacterial small subunit ribosomal RNA
Source: RNAcentral